GUGAAUCAUCAAAUCUUUGAACGCAAAUUGCACUCUCUUCGGAGAGUAUGCCUGUUUGAGGGUCAGCCUAAAAAAAAUAGACGUAGUAGCUGUUUCGCGGUGACAUUCGGCGGAAAUUGGGUCAUCUUAAACCUUUGGGUUUUUUAAGCGGCUUAAAAUUUGCGUUACGAUUCCACGAACGGUUCUAAGAUUGUACUUAUUAAACACGUUAAAGGUAACGAUCUUUAUUAGACGUGGCCGUUGCAUCGGAGCGCGUCCACAAAUAUUGCGUUAACUGACCUCAUACAGGGAAGA
RNAcentral lists this unclassified non-coding RNA (294 nucleotides) under Glomus sp. Its description in RNAcentral is "partial contains 5.8S ribosomal RNA and internal transcribed spacer 2". The stretch from base 1 to 65 matches the Rfam family "5.8S ribosomal RNA", at positions 84 to 154 of the family's 154-position model. The record is from RNAcentral. Lineage: Eukaryota; Fungi; Glomeromycota; Glomeromycetes; Glomerales; Glomeraceae.